This 430-nucleotide ribosomal RNA is filed under the name Pseudomonadota bacterium. RNAcentral's name for it is "Proteobacteria bacterium partial 16S ribosomal RNA". It matches the Rfam family "Bacterial small subunit ribosomal RNA", at positions 355 to 776 of the family's 1533-position model. The record is from RNAcentral. Lineage: Bacteria; Pseudomonadati; Pseudomonadota.
UGGGGAAUAUUGGACAAUGGGGGGAACCCUGAUCCAGCCAUGCCGCGUGUGUGAAGAAGGCCUUAUGGUUGUAAGGCACUUUAAGCGAGGAGGAGGGUACUGGUAUUAAUACUACCAGGUACUGGACGUUACUCGCAGAAUAAGCACCGGCUAACUCUGUGCCAGCAGCCGCGGUAAUACAGAGGGUGCGAGCGUUAAUCGGAUUUACUGGGCGUAAAGCGUGCGUAGGCGGCUAAUUGAGUCGGAUGUGAAAUCCCCGAGCUUAACUUGGGAAUUGCAUUCGAUACUGGUUAGCUAGAGUGUGGGAGAGGAUGGUAGAAGUCCAGGUGUAGCGGUGAAAUGCGUAGAGAUCUGGAGGAAUACCGAUGGCGAAGGCAGCCAUCUGGCCUAACACUGACGCUGAGGUACGAAAGCAUGGGGAGCAAACAGG